AGUGAAGCGGGAUGAGCUCAAAUUUAAAAUCUGGCUGGUUUACUAGUCCGAAUUGUAGUUUAAAGAAGCGUUUUCGGUGGCAGCCUGGGUAUAAAUCCUUUGGAAUAGGGUAUCAUAGAGGGUGAGAAUCCCGUCUUUGACUCAGUGAAUGCUACUAUGUGAUACGUUUUCAAAGAGUCGAGUUGUUUGGGAAUGCAGCUCAAAAUGGGUGGUAAAUUUCAUCUAAAGCUAAAUAUUGGCGAGAGACCGAUAGCGAACAAGUACCGUGAGGGAAAGAUGAAAAGAACUUUGAAAAGAGAGUUAAACAGUACGUGAAAUUGUUGAAAGGGAAACGUUUGACACCAGUCAUGCGGGUGGAAAAUCAGUCUUUUAGAGUAGGGAGUGGUGGGGGUUCGGACCGCAAGGCUGGCCUUUAUCUCAUCUCUGCACUAAUGGAUGCACUUUUUCAUUUGCAGGUCAACAUCAGUUUCUUCUGCUGGACAAAACUCCGAGAGAAGGUAGCAGCUUUGGCUGUGUUAUAGCUCUGGAGCGAUACAGUGGAGGGGACUGAGGUUUUCGCAGUGUGUGCUCUCGGGCAAGGUUGAUUAGGUGCUAUGUGAUCGUUCGGUGUACAAUGCAUGCAUUUUGCGCUGUGUCUUUUGCAUACUCGCCUGACUCGACUCUUCCACGCUUAGGAUGUUGACUUAAUGGUUUUAAACGACC
Molecule: ribosomal RNA, 702 nt
Filed under: Mortierella kuhlmanii
Lineage: Eukaryota; Fungi; Mortierellomycota; Mortierellomycetes; Mortierellales; Mortierellaceae
Also listed under: 1 other name
Description: eukaryotic LSU rRNA
Rfam family: Eukaryotic large subunit ribosomal RNA
Source: RNAcentral